This 482-nucleotide ribosomal RNA is filed under the name uncultured bacterium. RNAcentral describes it as "partial 16S ribosomal RNA". It matches the Rfam family "Bacterial small subunit ribosomal RNA", at positions 30 to 507 of the family's 1533-position model. The record is from RNAcentral.
AUUGAACGCUGGCGGCAUGCCUAACACAUGCAAGUCGAACGGUAACAGGUCUUCGGAUGCUGACGAGUGGCGAACGGGUGAGUAAUACAUCGGAACGUGCCCGAUCGCGGGGGAUAACGAAGCGCAAGCUUUGAUAAUACCUCAUACGAUCUACGGAUGAAAGCAGGGGACCGCAAGGCCUUGCGCGAACGGAGCGGCCGAUGGCAGAUUAGGUAGUUGGUGGGUUAAAAGCUUACCAAGCCGACGAUCUGUAGCUGGUCUGAGAGGACGACCCGCCACACUGGGACUGAGACACGGCCCAGACUCCUACGGGAGGCAGCAGUGGGGAAUUUUGGACAAUGGGCGAAAGCCUGAUCCAGCCAUGCCGCGUGCAGGAUGAAGGCCUUCGGAUUGUAAACUGCUUUUGUACGGAACGAACAGACUCUGGUUAAUACCUGGGGUCCAUGACGGUACCGUAAGAAUAAGCACCGGCUAACUACGUG